UUUUAACUUAGUUUUUAAGAAGUCUGCAAAAUUUGACUUAAGAUCAAUAGUUCAUUCACUAGUUAUUGGGGUUUAAAUCUUUUGUAGAAAUUACUAAGGUUUGGUUAGGAUUUGGUUUAAGGUUUAGGAUUUGGUUGGGAUUUGAUUUAGGGUUAGGAUUUGGUUAGGGUUUGAUUUAGGAUUAGGAUUUGAUUAGGAUUUGAUUUAGGAUUUAGGAUUUGGUUAGGAUUUGAUUAGGAUUAGGAUUUGAUAAGGAUUUGAUUUAGGGUUAGGAUUUGGUUAGGGUUUGAUUUAGAAUAUACAUUUUAAGAUUUAAUUAGGGUUUGAUUUAGGAUUUCAGGCUUGAUUAGGAUUUGAUUCAAAGUUAAGUUAGGAUUUGAUUUAGGAUUUAGGAUUUUAUUAGGAUUUAUUUAAGAUUUAAGAUUUAGUUAAUUUUUGGCCUAAAUUUUGAAUGAAGUCCAAUAAGAUUUUAACUAGGAUUAAAUUAAUAUUGAAUUGAGAUGUAUUUGUGAUCAUUUUAUUAUUUCUUUAAUAUUUUUUAAUAUUUUCUUUGUAAUUACUUUGAAUUUUCUUA
This 574-nucleotide long non-coding RNA is filed under the name Physcomitrium patens. RNAcentral's name for it is "long non-coding RNA (PPAT_LNC009405)". Lineage: Eukaryota; Viridiplantae; Streptophyta; Bryopsida; Funariales; Funariaceae. The record is from RNAcentral.